Molecule: ribosomal RNA, 439 nt
Filed under: Lactococcus garvieae
Lineage: Bacteria; Bacillati; Bacillota; Bacilli; Lactobacillales; Streptococcaceae
Description: bacterial SSU rRNA
Rfam family: Bacterial small subunit ribosomal RNA
Source: RNAcentral
GAAGAGCGGCGAACGGGUGAGUAACGCGUGGGAAAUCUGCCGAGUAGCGGGGGACAACGUUUGGAAACGAACGCUAAUACCGCAUAACAAUGAGAAUCGCAUGAUUCUUAUUUGAAAGAAGCAAUUGCUUCACUACUUGAUGAUCCCGCGUUGUAUUAGCUAGUUGGUAGUGUAAAGGACUACCAAGGCGAUGAUACAUAGCCGACCUGAGAGGGUGAUCGGCCACACUGGGACUGAGACACGGCCCAGACUCCUACGGGAGGCAGCAGUAGGGAAUCUUCGGCAAUGGGGGCAACCCUGACCGAGCAACGCCGCGUGAGUGAAGAAGGUUUUCGGAUCGUAAAACUCUGUUGUUAGAGAAGAACGUUAAGUAGAGUGGAAAAUUACUUAAGUGACGGUAUCUAACCAGAAAGGGACGGCUAACUACGUGCCAGCAGCC